RNAcentral lists this ribosomal RNA (446 nucleotides) under uncultured organism. RNAcentral's name for it is "partial 16S ribosomal RNA". It matches the Rfam family "Bacterial small subunit ribosomal RNA", at positions 335 to 797 of the family's 1533-position model. The record is from RNAcentral.
ACUCCUGCGGGAGGCAGCAGUGGGGAAUAUUGGACAAUGGGCGCAAGCCUGAUCCAGCCAUGCCGCGUGAGUGAUGAAGGCCCUAGGGUUGUAAAGCUCUUUCACCGGUGAAGAUAAUGACGGUAACCGGAGAAGAAGCCCCGGCUAACUUCGUGCCAGCAGCCGCGGUAAUACGAAGGGGGCUAGCGUUGUUCGGAUUUACUGGGCGUAAAGCGCACGUAGGCGGACUAUUAAGUCAGGGGUGAAAUCCCGGGGCUCAACCCCGGAACUGCCUUUGAUACUGGUAGUCUUGAGUUCGAGAGAGGUGAGUAGAAUUCCGAGUGUAGAGGUGAAAUUCGUAGAUAUUCGGAGGAACACCAGUGGCGAAGGCGGCUCACUGGCUCGAUACUGACGCUGAGGUGCGAAAGCGUGGGGAGCAAACAGGAUUAGAUACCCCUGUAGUCCCA